Long non-coding RNA from Marmota monax (woodchuck), 416 nucleotides. RefSeq lists it as uncharacterized. The transcript has 2 exons. NCBI's taxonomy places the organism in Eukaryota, Metazoa, Chordata, Mammalia, Rodentia, Sciuridae. The record is from RefSeq and is a predicted model, not a curated record.
CGAAUUCCAGGUCUGGUGUCGGAUUGUCUUUGACCUACAGCCUUCAUGACAAAAUGAGCAUUUGAAGAAAGUUGCACAAGUCCCUACCCCUGAAUGGGUCCCGCCCCUGCCUACUUUUGCCUGAACCCUUACCUUACUGCCUCCCUAAUCAGUUAUCAAGGGACAUAGGCAAGAGGAAGGAGACUGUCUCCUGGAGUCCCCAAACCCGUGACUGCAGUGUGAACAUUGCUUCCCCAGGACUGUCCAGGACUAUCCAUCCUGGAGCUGAAGGCAGGACCCACUUGUGUCCGGCAGGGGAAAAAGGUAGAUCCCUCAACAGCAUUAUGGAAUGUAGGCUACAAAGCUGAUCUGAAGCCAGAAAACCAACACAUAUCCCCUACAACAUCUUGACUGAUUAAAUACAAACCUAAAACUCA